This 252-nucleotide ribosomal RNA is filed under the name uncultured bacterium. RNAcentral's name for it is "partial 16S ribosomal RNA". It matches the Rfam family "Bacterial small subunit ribosomal RNA", at positions 28 to 280 of the family's 1533-position model. The record is from RNAcentral.
GACGAACGCUGGCGGCGUGCUUAACACAUGCAAGUCGAGCGGUAAGGCCCUUUCGGGGGUACGACGAGCGGCGAACGGGUGAGUAACACGUGGGUGACCUGCCCUUAGCUCUGGGAUAAGCCUGGGAAACUGGGUCUAAUACCGGAUAUGACUCCAUGACGCAUGUUGUGGGGUGGAAAGCCUUGUGCGGCUAGGGAUGGGCCCGCGGCCUAUCAGCUUGUUGGUGGGGUGAUGGCCUACCAAGGCGACGAC